Molecule: transfer RNA, 69 nt
Filed under: Coelorinchus kishinouyei (Mugura grenadier)
Lineage: Eukaryota; Metazoa; Chordata; Actinopteri; Gadiformes; Macrouridae
Description: tRNA-Asp
Source: RNAcentral
GAGCUUCUGGUGAAACUAUCACACUGCCUUGUCGAGGCUGCUUUGUGGGUUAAAGCCCCACGUAGCUUU